Amblyraja radiata (thorny skate) is the source of this 167-nucleotide long non-coding RNA. RefSeq lists it as uncharacterized. Lineage: Eukaryota; Metazoa; Chordata; Chondrichthyes; Rajiformes; Rajidae. The record is from RefSeq and is a predicted model, not a curated record. The transcript has 4 exons.
GGUGUUGUUAUGUUAUAUAUGUGGUGCCACACAUGAGAAACAUGAACCAAUUACACCAGCACAUGGGGAUUUCCAAGCGAAGCCUAAUAAAGGCUGAGCAUUUAUUUAUGAUCCUUUUCCCAUACUAUGGUUGUAUGGUAGGGGGGUGGUUGGUGGCCUUUUAAAAU